GUUCUUAUAGUUGAAGUACAACGAUGGUUUUUCAUAUCAUUAGUCAUGGCUGUAAUCCAUGUAAGAAUA
Molecule: transfer RNA, 69 nt
Filed under: Saimiri cassiquiarensis (Humboldt's squirrel monkey)
Lineage: Eukaryota; Metazoa; Chordata; Mammalia; Primates; Cebidae
Description: tRNA-Glu
Rfam family: tRNA
About the family: Transfer RNA (tRNA) molecules are approximately 80 nucleotides in length. Their secondary structure includes four short double-helical elements and three loops (D, anti-codon, and T loops). Further hydrogen bonds mediate the characteristic L-shaped molecular structure. tRNAs have two regions of fundamental functional importance: the anti-codon, which is responsible for specific mRNA codon recognition, and the 3' end, to which the tRNAs corresponding amino acid is attached (by aminoacyl-tRNA synthetases). tRNAs cope with the degeneracy of the genetic code in two manners: having more than one tRNA (with a specific anti-codon) for a particular amino acid; and 'wobble' base-pairing, i.e. permitting non-standard base-pairing at the 3rd anti-codon position.
Source: RNAcentral